Molecule: ribosomal RNA, 253 nt
Filed under: uncultured bacterium
Lineage: Bacteria
Description: partial 16S ribosomal RNA
Rfam family: Bacterial small subunit ribosomal RNA
Source: RNAcentral
UACGUAGGGGGCAAGCGUUGUCCGGAUUUAUUGGGCGUAAAGAGCGUGUAGGCGGCUAUACAGGUCCGUUGUGAAAACUCGAGGCUCAACCUCGAGACGUCGAUGGAAACCGUAUGGCUAGAGUCCGGAAGAGGAGAGUGGAAUUCCUGGUGUAGCGGUGAAAUGCGCAGAUAUCAGGAAGAACACCCGUGGCGAAGGCGGCUCUCUGGGACGGUACUGACGCUGAGACGCGAAAGCGUGGGGAGCGAACAGG